CGGCGUGGUGGUGGAGGAACGCCGCAGCGCGCCGCUGUCGCCGGUGGUCGCCAAGACCGCCGCCGGGGCCACGUCGUUCCUGCCGGUCGCGCAGACCA
Molecule: transfer RNA, 98 nt
Filed under: Deinococcus metalli
Lineage: Bacteria; Thermotogati; Deinococcota; Deinococci; Deinococcales; Deinococcaceae
Description: tRNA-Asp
Source: RNAcentral